GACGAACGCNGGCGGCGUGCUUAACACAUGCAAGUCGAACGAAGAGCGAUGGAAGCUUGCUUCUAUCAAUCUUAGUGGCGAACGGGUGAGUAACGCGUAAUCAACCUGCCCUUCAGAGGGGGACAACAGUUGGAAACGACUGCUAAUACCGCAUACGAUCUAAUCUCGGCAUCGAGGAUAGAUGAAAGGUGGCCUCUACAUGUAAGCUAUCAUUGAAGGAGGGGAUUGCGUCUGAUUAGCUAGUUGGAGGGGUAACGGCCCACCAAGGCGAUGAUCAGUAGCCGGUCUGAGAGGAUGAACGGCCACAUUGGGACUGAGGCACGGCCCAGACUCCUACGGGAGGCAGCAGUGGGGAAUCUUCCGCAAUGGACGAAAGUCUGACGGAGCAACGCCGCGUGAGUGAUGACGGCCUUCGGGUUGUA
RNAcentral lists this ribosomal RNA (422 nucleotides) under uncultured bacterium. RNAcentral's name for it is "bacterial SSU rRNA". It matches the Rfam family "Bacterial small subunit ribosomal RNA", at positions 28 to 427 of the family's 1533-position model. The record is from RNAcentral.